Long non-coding RNA from Juglans microcarpa x Juglans regia, 174 nucleotides. RefSeq lists it as uncharacterized. The record is from RefSeq and is a predicted model, not a curated record. NCBI's taxonomy places the organism in Eukaryota, Viridiplantae, Streptophyta, Magnoliopsida, Fagales, Juglandaceae. The transcript has 3 exons.
AAGAGUAGGUGGAGAAUGCUAUUGCUUUCUAUGAAUGAGACCUGUUCAGAUGGAUAACCGAAUGUGGAUCAGCAAAGAGACUUUGAGACGGAAUUGACAGAUCUGCUUAGCGUUUCAACUCUCCCCACACACACACACACACACACACACACACAAAGUUGAUACGAGGAAAUA